UCGGCUUGGUGUACUUUCUGCACGCAACGGGUCAACAUCAAUUUUGGCCCAUGGAGAAAGGUGGGGGGAAUGUAGCGCUGUUUCGGCAGCGUGUUAUAGCCCUCCAUUGUAUGCAUGGGCUGGGAUUGAGGAACGCAGCACGCCCUUGUGGCCGGGGGUUCGCCCCACGUACUGUGCUUAGGAUGUUGGCAGAAUGGCUUUAAGCGACCCGUCUUGAAACACGGACCAAGGAGUCUAACAUGCUUGCGAGUGUUCGGGUGGAAAACCCUUGUGCGUAAUGAAAGUGAAAGUUGGGAACCUCCGCAAGGGGGUGCACCGACGCCCGGCCCUGACGUUCUCUGACGGUGCUGCGGUAGAGCAAGUAUGCUAGGACCCGAAAGAUGGUGAACUAUGCCU
This 396-nucleotide ribosomal RNA is filed under the name Fomitiporia apiahyna. RNAcentral's name for it is "partial large subunit ribosomal RNA". It matches the Rfam family "Eukaryotic large subunit ribosomal RNA", at positions 465 to 838 of the family's 3401-position model. Lineage: Eukaryota; Fungi; Basidiomycota; Agaricomycetes; Hymenochaetales; Hymenochaetaceae. The record is from RNAcentral.